ACACAGUGGCGGACGGGUGAGUAACGCGUGAGAAUCUAGCUUCAGGUCUGGGACAACCACUGGAAACGGUGGCUAAUACCGGAUGUGCCGAGAGGUGAAAGGCUUGCUGCCUGAAGAUGAGCUCGCGUCUGAUUAGCUAGUUGGUGGGGUAAGAGCCUACCAAGGCGACGAUCAGUAGCUGGUCUGAGAGGAUGAUCAGCCACACUGGGACUGAGACACGGCCCAGACUCCUACGGGAGGCAGCAGUGGGGAAUUUUCCGCAAUGGGCGAAAGCCUGACGGAGCAAUACCGCGUGAGGGAGGAAGGCUCUUGGGUUGUAAACCUCUUUUCUCAGGGAAGAAAUCAAUGACGGUACCUGAGGAAUAAGCAUCGGCUAACUCCGUGCCAGCAGCCGCGGUAAUACGGAGGAUGCAAGCGUUAUCCGGAAUGAUUGGGCGUAAAGCGUCCGCAGGUGGCCAUGUAAGUCUGCUGUUAAAGAGCAAGGCUCAACCUUGUAAAGGCAGUGGAAACUACACGGCUAGAGUGCGUUCGGGGCAGAGGGAAUUCCUGGUGUAGCGGUGAAAUGCGUAGAGAUCAGGAAGAACACCGGUGGCGAAAGCGCUCUGCUAGGCCGCAACUGACACUGAGGGACGAAAGCUAGGGGAGCGAAUGGGAUUAGAUACCCCAGUAGUCCUAGCCGUGAACGAUGGAUACUAGGCGUGGCUUGUAUCGACCCGAGCCGUGCCGUAGCUAACGCGUUAAGUAUCCCGCCUGGGGAGUACGCACGCAAGUGUGAAACUC
RNAcentral lists this ribosomal RNA (780 nucleotides) under uncultured Cylindrospermum sp. RNAcentral describes it as "bacterial SSU rRNA". It matches the Rfam family "Bacterial small subunit ribosomal RNA", at positions 90 to 902 of the family's 1533-position model. The record is from RNAcentral. Lineage: Bacteria; Bacillati; Cyanobacteriota; Cyanophyceae; Nostocales; Nostocaceae.